This 510-nucleotide ribosomal RNA is filed under the name uncultured bacterium. Its description in RNAcentral is "bacterial SSU rRNA". It matches the Rfam family "Bacterial small subunit ribosomal RNA", at positions 147 to 429 of the family's 1533-position model. The record is from RNAcentral.
CAUACCGAAAGGUAUGCUAAUACGAGAUAAUAUGUAAUGAUCGCAUGGUCGAUACAUCAAAGCUCCGGCGGUACAGGAUGGACCCGCGUCGGAUUAGCUAGUUGGUGAGGUAAUGGCUCACCAAGGCGACGAUCAGUAGCCGACCUGAGAGGGUGAUCGGCCACAUUGGAACUGAGACACGGUCCAAACUCCUACGGGAGGCAGCAGUGGGGAAUAUUGCACAAGGGGCGAAAGCCUGAUGCAGCAACGCCGCGUCAUACGUCCUACGGGAGAAAGCAGGGGACCUUCAGGCCUUGCGCUAUCAGAUGAGCCUAGGUCGCAUUAGCUAGUUGGUGAGGUAAUGGCUCACCAAGGCGACGAUCCGUAACUGGUCUGAGAGGAUGAUCAGUCACACUGGAACUGAGACACGGUCCAGACUCCUACGGGAGGCAGCAGUGGGGAAUAUUGGACAAUGGGCGAAAGCCUGAUCCAGCCAUGCCGCGUGUGUAAAGAAGGUCUUCGGAUUGUAAA